UCUGGCGUCUUCGCCGUCCGAGUUGUAAUCUCAAGAAGUGUUUUCCGUGAUAGACCGCAUACAAGUCUCUUGGAACAGAGCGUCAUAGUGGUGAGAACCCAGUACACGAUGCGGAUGCCUAUUACUUUGUGAUACACUUUCGAAGAGUCGAGUUGUUUGGGAAUGCAGCUCAAAUUGGGUGGUAAAUUCCAUCUAAAGCUAAAUAUUGGCGAGAGACCGAUAGCGAACAAGUACCGUGAGGGAAAGAUGAAAAGCACUUUGGAAAGAGAGUUAACAGUACGUGAAAUUGUUGGAAGGGAAACACAUGCAGUGAUACUUGCUAUUCGGGGCAACUCGAUUGGCAGGCCCGCAUCAGUUUUUCGGGGCGGAAAAUCGUAGAGAGAAGGUAGCAGUUUCGGCUGUGUUAUAGCUCUUUACUGGAUUCGCCCUGGGGGACUGAGGAACGCAGCGUGCUUUUAGCAUGAGCUUCGGCUUAUCCACGCUUAGGAUGCGGGUUUAUGGCUGUAUAUGACCCGUCUUGA
Molecule: ribosomal RNA, 521 nt
Filed under: uncultured Sporidiobolus
Lineage: Eukaryota; Fungi; Basidiomycota; Microbotryomycetes; Sporidiobolales
Description: eukaryotic LSU rRNA
Rfam family: Eukaryotic large subunit ribosomal RNA
Source: RNAcentral